Molecule: long non-coding RNA, 238 nt
Filed under: Carica papaya (papaya)
Lineage: Eukaryota; Viridiplantae; Streptophyta; Magnoliopsida; Brassicales; Caricaceae
Description: long non-coding RNA (CPAP_LNC007671)
Source: RNAcentral
UUAACCAAAUGAAAUUUUAAUUUCAUGCAUAAGAUCAGCAAUCUUUCAUUUUUAACCUACUUAUUAGGACUUCUGGAGGUUCAUAGGGAUAUCCCUCUACUCGUAGACCCAGUAUCAAAAUUUGACAAUUGACCCAGCUGUCCCCAUAUCCCAUCCAGUAAUGGGCGUCAAAACACCAUCGCCUCGAUAUCUCGUUUGUUAUGAGGGUAAACCAUAUUUACCAAAACCCUCUCGGUAU